Molecule: non-coding RNA, 80 nt
Organism: Podarcis lilfordi (Lilford's wall lizard)
Lineage: Eukaryota; Metazoa; Chordata; Lepidosauria; Squamata; Lacertidae
Source: the annotation of a GenBank genome assembly
GGCUGUAGCUCAGUGGAAGAGCACCUCCUUUGCAUGCAAAAGGUCCCUGGUUGGAGCUCCAGCAUCUCCAGGCUGGGCUA